Triticum aestivum (bread wheat) is the source of this 136-nucleotide non-coding RNA. NCBI's taxonomy places the organism in Eukaryota, Viridiplantae, Streptophyta, Magnoliopsida, Poales, Poaceae. The record is from Rfam.
UAUCUACUCCCUCCGUUCCAUAAUACAUGCCUUUCAUUUGUCAAAAUAUAGAUGUAUCUAGACAUGUUUUAGUAUAUAGGUACAUCCAUUUUUAGACAAAUGAAAAUCAAGUAUUUUGAAACGAAAGGAGUAAUAC